UGGCUGGUUGAAUAGUACUAUAUAUUUUUUGGUUCGAUGGCGGCGCACAAUAUGGUAUGUGCUGGUUCGAUGGGACUCAUCUAUGUGAUGUGCUCAUCUCACAUCAUUCAAUAACAUCAUUCACGAGCUACUCACCUCCUACUUGUUCGUUAGAGAGGUGGAGGGGUGAUGGAGUGGAGGAAAAAGUGGAUGCUUUGUUCUUCAAUUAGAGAGAGAGGGGUGUUCUAAUGAGAUUUGAACGG
This 242-nucleotide long non-coding RNA is filed under the name Elaeis guineensis (African oil palm). RNAcentral describes it as "long non-coding RNA (EGUI_LNC024738)". Lineage: Eukaryota; Viridiplantae; Streptophyta; Magnoliopsida; Arecales; Arecaceae. The record is from RNAcentral.